This is a long non-coding RNA of Xenopus laevis (African clawed frog), 580 nucleotides long. RefSeq lists it as uncharacterized. NCBI's taxonomy places the organism in Eukaryota, Metazoa, Chordata, Amphibia, Anura, Pipidae. The record is from RefSeq and is a predicted model, not a curated record. The transcript is spliced from 3 exons.
GCCUGCGCAGAAGAGUCACGUGGGUGCUAGUUCCAGACUGAAUUUGUCAGAUGGAGAUUAGGUUUAGUUCCCUAAUUGUUGUAUUUUAGCCAGGUAUGAUAGUACAAAGCAAAUGGCGCCUGGGCAGAUGGCUUGGAGAUAUGUAUAUAUGGAAAUCAGACCUUUACAACGCCUGUAUCAGGAAUAUCAUCCCGGUGGUUACAGCCUGCCACUGAAUAGGACAAGCUCUCAGGCAACCAGAGCUCAUAAGAAUUCCGUUGUUGUUCAAGGGUAGGACUACACGGACAUUUUCAGCGCGAUCCGUCGGACUGCGACAAAACGCAUGCAAUGGAAAUAAGAUUCGGAUGUUGUACUGAGAUUCUGGUGUGUUUGACCUGGCCUGUGACCUCGACCAUUCCUACGUCUCCUGCAUCUGUACCGUAGUGACUGUUUGUUACUGACCCAGCCUGGCUUUUUUGACUAAGUUUCCCAUUCUACAACACUAUGCUUGGUUCCCUUGCUCAUUUAGAACUCUCUCCUUGGUUCUCCCACAAUAAGACCUUGUGGCAUCUGAGUAGCGGAGGGCUCCACCCAAAGCCAA